This 661-nucleotide long non-coding RNA is filed under the name Zonotrichia albicollis (white-throated sparrow). RNAcentral's name for it is "lncRNA (ENSZALG00000009470.1)". Lineage: Eukaryota; Metazoa; Chordata; Aves; Passeriformes; Passerellidae. The record is from RNAcentral.
UGGGGCGGUGUUUGCUUUGACUCCAGAACCUGUCUGGGGCUGAGAGCCCUGCCUGUGACCGGAGCUGCCUGUGCUGCUGCAGCCCCAGCGCUCGGGAUGGGGACAGCGGGCGGGACAAACCCCGUGCCCACCAUGGCCACCAGCCAAACACAGCGGGGACUGCGGGAACACUCCCGUAACCAAACACAAAACCGGCCGGGGACAGGAACGGGAUAUUGGGGAAUGCCCGGAUUUGCCUCAAUUAGCCAAACACCUGGGUGGUGCUGCCUGGAGGCACUUGCAAAGGAAGAGAUCAGGAGAUAUCCUGCUGCUAUCACGGUCUAACAGAAGCACUCGAUGUUCUGAAUGCUGGAUGAUUGUGUUUCAGUCAUGCAUGACACAAAAUUCAUUGUGGAUUGCUUCUAAGACUGUUGUCAGUGUGGAAUUCCUUCUCAGAAUGGACCCAACCUGUAUUUGGAGAGAAUUAAAUGAAGUCAUUAUAGAUGGUGAAACAGACCUAGCAAUGAAAGUGUUAUGAGAACAUGACAAGAAAUUGCUCCUGUCACAUGAUGGUUGUGAAAGUUAAUGCACAGAAAGAAGAAAGUAAUGAAGGAGUAAAGGUUUAGCUUUGUUAUGCUGGCUAGAAAAUAAAUGCAAUAAGUUUGUAGUAUAAUUGGGAAUA